GAUGAACGCUGGCGGCGUGCCUAAUACAUGCAAGUCGAGCGAACGGACGAGAAGCUUGCUUCUCUGAUGUUAGCGGCGGACGGGUGAGUAACACGUGGAUAACCUACCUAUAAGACUGGGAUAACUUCGGGAAACCGGAGCUAAUACCGGAUAAUAUUUUGAACCGCAUGGUUCAAAAGUAAAAGACGGUCUUGCUGUCACUUAUAGAUGGAUCCGCGCUGCAUUAGCUAGUUGGUAAGGUAACGGCUUACCAAGGCAACGAUGCAUAGCCGACCUGAGAGGGUGAUCGGCCACACUGGAACUGAGACACGGUCCAGACUCCUACGGGAGGCAGCAGUAGGGAAUCUUCCGCAAUGGGCGAAAGCCUGACGGAGCAACGCCGCGUGAGUGAUGAAGGUCUUCGGAUCGUAAAACUCUGUUAUUAGGGAAGAACAUAUGUGUAAGUAACCGUGCACAUCUUGACGGUACCUAAUCAGAAAGCCACGGCUAACUACGUGCCAGCAGCCGCGGUAAUACGUAGGUGGCAAGCGUUAUCCGGAAUUUUAUGGGCGUAAGCGCGCGUAGCGGUUUUUUAGUCUGAUGUGAAAGCCCACGGCUCACCCGUGGAGGGUCAUUGGAAACUGGAAAACUUGAGUGCAGAAGAGGAAAGUGGAAUUCCAUGUGUAGCGGUGAAAUGCGCAGAGAUAUGGAGGAACACCAGUGGCGAAGGCGACUUUCUGGUCUGUAACUGACGCUGAUGUGCGAAAGCGUGGGGAUCAAACAGGAUUAGAUACCCUGGUAGUCCACGCCGUAAACGAUGAGUGCUAAGUGUUAGGGGGUUUCCGCCCCUUAGUGCUGCAGCUAACGCAUUAAGCACUCCGCCUGGGGAGUACGACCGCAAGGUUGAAACUCAAAGGAAUUGACGGGGACCCGCACAAGCGGUGGAGCAUGUGGUUUAAUUCGAAGCAACGCGAAGAACCUUACCAAAUCUUGACAUCCUUUGACAACUCUAGAGAUAGAGCCUUCCCCUUCGGGGGACAAAGUGACAGGUGGUGCAUGGUUGUCGUCAGCUCGUGUCGUGAGAUGUUGGGUUAAGUCCCGCAACGAGCGCAACCCUUAAGCUUAGUUGCCAUCAUUGAGUUGGGCACUCUAAGUUGACUGCCGGUGACAAACCGGAGGAAGGUGGGGAUGACGUCAAAUCAUCAUGCCCCUUAUGAUUUGGGCUACACACGUGCUACAAUGGACAAUACAAAGGGCAGCGAAACCGCGAGGUCAAGCAAAUCCCAUAAAGUUGUUCUCAGUUCGGAUUGUAGUCUGCAACUCGACUACAUGAAGCUGGAAUCGCUAGUAAUCGUAGAUCAGCAUGCUACGGUGAAUACGUUCCCGGGUCU
This 1370-nucleotide ribosomal RNA is filed under the name uncultured bacterium. RNAcentral describes it as "bacterial SSU rRNA". It matches the Rfam family "Bacterial small subunit ribosomal RNA", at positions 28 to 1381 of the family's 1533-position model. The record is from RNAcentral.